UUAUUACAUUGUACUUAAAAUUAAUUAACCCAAAUUGGGGCCUUUGCACACCUGCUAUAUUACUGAACUGUGAAAGAAAUUAUACACCCCUCCCCCUAAGGGAAAAAAAGAAAGAAAUUUUUUUUUUUUUAAUUGCACAAUAUACUGCUAACACUGUGGAAAUAUAAUUUAUGUUAAGUAAAUUUUUGAAAAGCUGUUGACAUCUCUCAAACUAAAUGUUGAUGAGGGAACCCUUUUCAUAAGUCAUAUGCCAGUCAUUCAAAGUUAUGUUGGCUGAUUUGCCUAGAAUGUGUAAUUCAUUUGAUAUUGAAUUAUUCAUUACUUUAACAAGAAGUAAAUAAGCUUCUUUUUUUUAUAAGGUGGUCCAUAACACUACAGGGAGAUAACUCUGUAUAUAUCAGUUCAACGUUUCAUUACAUUCUAUUGUUCAAUCAUCAAAAUUUGUGUUUGUCAUAUCCAAUGAAAAUUUUUGCUAUAGUUUGGGUUCAGAUUUGAAUUUAUUAUAUUUUUAUCGAAGGGUCAAAGUAAAUAUUUUGUCAAAAUUUAAUGAAAAUUAAACUAGCCAAAUUAAUUUUAGUCGAGGUGUUUCAUACCACCUUUACAACAUUUUAACAUGUUGGGGCCUUUUAUAGAUGACUUUACAAUAUGAGUUUUGUUCAUUGUUGAAGUGGGAAUAGUUGCGAAAUUAGUGGACUCUUGUUGAUAGUUGUCUCAUUGACUAUCAGACCUUAUUUUUACAUUAUUCCUUAAAAAUUGAAAAAUAAAAUAAACUACUGCAUACUGUGGAUUCAUUUAUUUCCUGUGAAUCAAUUAUUGUGGAUUGCUGAAACCUUGCAUUUUCAUGGAUUUUUGAUUUUGUAGUUUUGCCAAUCCAUGCAUGAAAAGCUUGUUGAAAAUUAAUUAUUCAUUGAACAUAAGAAUUUGAGGUUCAUCUGUACCAACGAAACCCAAGAAAAUUGGUAUCCAACAAUAACAGUGAAUCCACAGUAUAUCCUAAAUAUUUUCUUCUGACUCAUUUUCCAUAUGGGGAGUGGGGUUAACAUGUUGAGAGGGGGGAACAAAGUUGUCUCAAAAACUGUUUUUGAGAUGAGAAAAUGACAGGUUGUGGUUUUUUUCCAGGUUUUCUUGCCUUUUAUUAUCAUCAAUGAUCUGGGUAAUAACUAUUGCAUUAUUGGUGCACAGUAAGGUUGUUCUGUAAUCAUAUAUUUUGUGUUAUGUUUUUGUACUAAAUUAUCCAUGUUCACCUAGUUUAGAAGUUGAGCUACUGAUUUGUUUCCUGUAAUUGCAAUAUGUUACAAUGGCUUGUACUUAGUGACGUUAGCGUCCACUAAAUAUGAUUGUUAACCUCAGAAUAAUUUGUGUUAUCAAAUAAAUUGUUAUUGAGCCAGAA
Molecule: long non-coding RNA, 1390 nt
Filed under: Mytilus galloprovincialis (Mediterranean mussel)
Lineage: Eukaryota; Metazoa; Mollusca; Bivalvia; Mytilida; Mytilidae
Source: RNAcentral